GACAGAGGUGGCGACCGUUGUUCGGAAUCACUGGGCAUAAAGCGCGUGUAGGCGGUGAGAUAAGUCGGGUGUGAAAUCCCUCGGCCUAACCGAGGAAUUGCGCUCGAAACUAUCUCGCUUGAGGAUCAGAGGGGAGCCUGGAAUUCCUGGUGGAGCGGUGAAAUGCGUUGAUAUCAGGAGGAACACCGGCGGCGAAGGCGAGGCUCUGGCUGAUUUCUGACGCUGAGACGCGAAAGCUAGGGGAGCAAAC
Molecule: ribosomal RNA, 250 nt
Filed under: uncultured bacterium
Lineage: Bacteria
Description: partial 16S ribosomal RNA
Rfam family: Bacterial small subunit ribosomal RNA
Source: RNAcentral